Molecule: non-coding RNA, 705 nt
Organism: Paramuricea clavata
Lineage: Eukaryota; Metazoa; Cnidaria; Anthozoa; Malacalcyonacea; Plexauridae
Source: the annotation of a GenBank genome assembly
CACAAAUUUUGAGGGCGUGGCUUCUGCUCGGCUAAAGUUUGCACAAAAAUGUGCAGUGAUAAAAAAUUCUUAAAAUUAGGUAUGGGUUUCAGUGCCGAAUAUUGCUAUAUAAUCAACUUUAGCUAAUGAUGUAGUAGAUGUGACUGUCCCAUUCUUGCAAUAUGUAAAUUGUCUAUUUGAGAACCAUCCUCAGAGAUAUGAAAAACUAGUUUCAUAUUUCUGGCACUGCAGAGUACAACGGAAAAUUCGUUGUCUCAAGCGGCGAGAUUCGAACUCACGUCUUCGGGUUUCUAGACCGCCUCUCUUCCCAUUGAGCUAUCGAGUCAACGGGGAUUGGUAGCGAGUGUUAUCCAAUUUAAAAAUAUUUCGUGACGACUUAGAAACCGAAGAUGCGAGUUCGAAUCCCGCUUGAGACAACCAAUUUUUCGUUGUCCUCUGCAAUGUCAGAAUAAUAUUAAACUAGUUUUUCAUAUCUCUGAGAAUGGUUCUGAAAUAGAAUUAUAUAUAAAAUAAUAUGUAUAUAACGCGUGCUCUGAUUGGUCGAAACCCGUGUUUGGAUCAGGCCAUCCAAACACGGAAAUUUAAAGUGAAAGUUUUUUAAAAUUGAAGUGAAAUUUUAACAUGAAAAGUUGUUAUUUUAUAAAACAAUUACUUUAUGGUUUCCGUGUUUGGAUGGCCUGAUCCGAACACUUGGGAAUGUUGCUC